GCAGGCGGCAUCGAAUUAGCCAACAGAGAGUUCGUCUCGCUCAGUUGAACGCUGGCGGGAUAAGCACAUGCAAGUCGAACGGCAGCACGGACUUCGGUCUGGUGGCGAGUGGCGAACAGGUGGAUAAUGUAUCGGAACGUGCCUAGUAGCGGGGGAUAACUACGCGAAAGCGUAGCUAAUACCGCAUACGCCCUUCGGGGAAAAGCGAGGAGCCUUCGGGCCUCACUAUUGAAGCGGCCGAUAUCGGAUUAGCUAGUUGGUGGGGUAACAAGCUCACCAGAGCGUCUUGAUCCGUAGCUGGUUUGAAGGACGACCAGCCACACUGGGACUGAGACACGGCCCAGACUCCUACGGGAGGCAGCAGUGGGGAAUUUUGGACAAUGGGGAAGCCUGAUCAGCCAUCCCGCGUGUGCGAUGAAGGCCUUCGGGUUGUAAGCACUUUUGGCAGGAAAGAAACGGCACGGGAUAAUGCCCGUUACAACUGACGACACCUGCAGAAUAAGCGCCGGCCUAACUACGUGCCAGCGCCGCGGUAAUACGUAGGGUGCAAGCGUUAAUCAGGAAUUACUGGGCGUAAAGCGUGCGCAGGCGGUUCAAGAGAAGAUGUGAAAUCCCAGAGCUUAACUUUGGAACUGCAUUUUUAACUACCGAGCUAGAGUGUGUCAGGGGAGGUGGAAUUCCGCGUGUAGCAGUGAAAUGCGUAGAUAUGCGGAGGAACACCGAUGGCGAAGGCAGCCUCCUGGGAUAACACUGACGCUCAUGCCACGGCGAUGGGAGCAAACAGGAUUAAAGAUGCCCUGGUGAUCCACGCCUAAACGAUGUCAGCUAGCAUUGGGCCUUCGGGCCUUGUUGACACCAUCGCACGCGUGAAGUUGACCGCCUGAGGUACGGUCGCAAGAUUAAAACUCAAGGGAAUUGACGGGGGACCCGCACAAGCGGUGGAUGAUGUGGAUUAAUUCGAUGCAACGCAAAACCUUACCUACCCUUGACAUGUCCUGGAAUCUCGAAGGUGGGAGUGGAGAACCGGAACACAGGUGCUGCAUGGCUGUCGUCAGCUCAUGUCGUGAGAUGUUGGGUUAAGUCCCGCAACGAGCGCAACCAUGUGCAUUAGUUGCUACGAAGGGCGCCUAAUGGGGCCCUGCCGAGUGACAAACCGGAGGGAAAGUGGGGAUGACGUCAAGUCCUCAUGGCCCAUAUGGGUAGGGCUUCACACGUCAUACAAUGGUCGGGACAGAGGGUCGCCAACCCGCGAGGGGAGCCAAUCCCAGAAACCCGAUCGUAGUCCGGAUCAUGAUCCGCAACUCGUUCGUGAAGUCGGAAUCGCUAGUAAUCGCGGAUCAGCAUGUCGCGGUGAAUACGUUCCCGGGUCUUGUACACACCGCCCGUCACACCAUGGGAGUGGGUUUUACCAGAAGUAGUUGACCUAACCAUCAGGAGGCGAUUCACCGUGACGGAUUCAUGACUGGGGUGAAGUCGUAACAAGGUAG
This 1487-nucleotide ribosomal RNA is filed under the name uncultured Bordetella sp. RNAcentral describes it as "partial 16S-23S ribosomal RNA intergenic spacer". It matches the Rfam family "Bacterial small subunit ribosomal RNA". The record is from RNAcentral. Lineage: Bacteria; Pseudomonadati; Pseudomonadota; Betaproteobacteria; Burkholderiales; Alcaligenaceae.